AGCCAAAUGGGUGUGGUGGCCAGAAACCAAUCAAUAGACAAUAGGGGUUCUGGACCUUCUGGUUCUCCAUUCUCGUACACAUUCAUUCAUUUUCUUUUUUCGCGCAAAAAUCUCUUCUUUCUCUUGCUAACCACUUGCUAACCAGACGAUCGAUAUUGGAAAAGCUGAACCUUGCAAGGAACAUUUGUAAGACGGUCUUUAGAUACAGAACGUUGAACGAGCGUCUCAGAAAUACCGCAGCGGAAUUUGAUGCCAUUAAUGACGAUUUCUACAAAGUCAGGGCAGACCCCAACUUCCGGAACUCUCUGUCGAAUUGUCCAAAGUUGAUUGAGGAGGCUGAACAUGUCCGUCAAGUGGCUCAACAGGCUGAAGAGACAGUUAGUAAACUCAUUCGUGGUUAUACACAUUUCAAGGUCUCCUUUUCUCUCUCUCUCUCUUCUUUCUUCACACUCCAAAUUGUAUCGUUUGCUGACUGUUGAUAUGAUGUUGUAUUCUUCACCAACAUGAGGAACCAAAUCUUGACAGCUUCAAUUUGUUCAAAAGUUCUGUUGCACCAUCUGUAGCAGCUACCAUGGCUAGCGUCCUACUUGUGGUGAUUUCAUAUAAAAAACAUUUGAGGAAGAAGUACGAAGAAAAGUUACAUAAGGCGACUGCAGAUAAAGGAGGGACAUUUGAAGGAAAAGU
Molecule: long non-coding RNA, 684 nt
Organism: Papaver somniferum (opium poppy)
Lineage: Eukaryota; Viridiplantae; Streptophyta; Magnoliopsida; Ranunculales; Papaveraceae
Exons: 3
Source: RefSeq, a predicted model, not a curated record